Molecule: ribosomal RNA, 862 nt
Filed under: uncultured marine bacterium
Lineage: Bacteria
Description: bacterial SSU rRNA
Rfam family: Bacterial small subunit ribosomal RNA
Source: RNAcentral
AGAGUUUGAUCCUGGCUCAGAACGUACGCUGGCGGCACGCCUAACACAUGCAAGUCGAACGAAGUAGCAAUACUUAGUGGCAGACGGGUGAGUAACAUGUAGGUAUCUGCCCUUUGGCCUGGAAUAACACGAGGAAACUUGUGCUAAUACUGGAUAAGUCUUUACGGAGAAAGCUUUAUGCACCAUUGGAUGAGCCUGCACUUGAUUAGUUUGUUGGUGGGGUAAUGGCCUACCAAGACUAUGAUCAAUAGCUGAUUUGAGAGGAUGAUCAGCCACAUUGGGACUGAGACACGGCCCAAACUCCUACGGGAGGCAGCAGUGGGGAAUCUUGCACAAUGGAGGAAACUCUGAUGCAGCGAUGCCGCGUGAGUGAAGAAGGCCCUUGGGUUGUAAAGCUCUUUCGUCGGGGAAGAAAAUGACUGUACCCGAAUAAGAAGGUCCGGCUAACUUCGUGCCAGCAGCCGCGGUAAUACGAAGGGACCUAGCGUAGUUCGGAAUUACCGGGCUUAAAGAGUUCGUAGGUGGUUGAAAAAGUUGGUGGUGAAAUCCCAGAGCUUAACUCUGGAACUGCCAUCAAAACUUUUCAGCUAGAGUAUGAUAGAGGAAAGCAGAAUUUCUAGUGUAGAGGUGAAAUUCGUAGAUAUUAAAAAGAAUACCAAUUGCGAAGGCAGCUUUUCUGGAUCAUUACUGACACUGAGGAACGAAAGCAUGGGUAGCGAAGAGGAUUAGAUACCCCUCGUAGUCCAUGCCGUAAACGAUGUGUGUUAGACGUUGGAAAUUUAUUUUCAGUGUCGCAGCGAAAGCGAUAAACACACCGCCUGGGGAGUACGACCGCAAGGUUAAAACUCAAAGGAAUUGACGG